RNAcentral lists this ribosomal RNA (497 nucleotides) under uncultured bacterium. RNAcentral describes it as "partial 16S ribosomal RNA". It matches the Rfam family "Bacterial small subunit ribosomal RNA", at positions 28 to 507 of the family's 1533-position model. The record is from RNAcentral.
GAUGAACGCUGGCGGCGUGCCUAAUACAUGCAAGUCGAGCGAACGGACGAGAAGCUUGCUUCUCUGAUGUUAGCGGCGGACGGGUGAGUAACACGUGGAUAACCUACCUAUAAGACUGGGAUAACUUCGGGAAACCGGAGCUAAUACCGGAUAAUAUUUUGAACCGUAUGGUUCAAUAGUGAAAGACGGUCUUGCUGUCACUUAUAGAUGGAUCCGCGCUGCAUUAGCUAGUUGGUAAGGUAACGGCUUACCAAGGCAACGAUGCAUAGCCGACCUGAGAGGGUGAUCGGCCACACUGGAACUGAGACACGGUCCAGACUCCUACGGGAGGCAGCAGUAGGGAAUCUUCCGCAAUGGGCGAAAGCCUGACGGAGCAACGCCGCGUGAGUGAUGAAGGUCUUCGGAUCGUAAAACUCUGUUAUUAGGGAAGAACAUAUGUGUAAGUAACUGUGCACAUCUUGACGGUACCUAAUCAGAAAGCCACGGCUAACUACGUG